RNAcentral lists this ribosomal RNA (492 nucleotides) under uncultured bacterium. Its description in RNAcentral is "partial 16S ribosomal RNA". It matches the Rfam family "Bacterial small subunit ribosomal RNA", at positions 29 to 507 of the family's 1533-position model. The record is from RNAcentral.
AGUGAACGCUGGCGGUAGGCCUAACACAUGCAAGUCGAACGGCAGCACAGUAAGAGCUUGCUCUUACGGGUGGCGAGUGGCGGACGGGUGAGGAAUACAUCGGAAUCUACUUUUUCGUGGGGGAUAACGUAGGGAAACUUACGCUAAUACCGCAUACGACCUACGGGUGAAAGCAGGGGAUCUUCGGCCCUUGGGCGAUUGAAUGAGCCGAUGUCGGAUUAGCUAGUUGGCGGGGUAAAGGCCUACCAAGGCGACGAUCCGUAGCUGGUCUGAGAGGAUGAUCAGCCACACUGGAACUGAGACACGGUCCAGACUCCUACGGGAGGCAGCAGUGGGGAAUAUUGGACAAUGGGCGCAAGCCUGAUCCAGCCAUACCGCGUGGGUGAAGAAGGCCUUCGGGUUGUAAAGCCCUUUUGUUGGGAAAGAAAAGCAGCAGGUUAAUACCCCGCUGUUCUGACGGUACCCAAAGAAUAAGCACCGGCUAACUUCGUG